This 1372-nucleotide ribosomal RNA is filed under the name uncultured bacterium. RNAcentral describes it as "bacterial SSU rRNA". It matches the Rfam family "Bacterial small subunit ribosomal RNA", at positions 28 to 1381 of the family's 1533-position model. The record is from RNAcentral.
GAUGAACGCUGGCGGCGUGCCUAAUACAUGCAAGUCGAGCGAACGGACGAGAAGCUUGCUUCUCUGAUGUUAGCGGCGGACGGGUGAGUAACACGUGGAUAACCUACCUAUAAGACUGGGAUAACUUCGGGAAACCGGAGCUAAUACCGGAUAAUAUUUUGAACCGCAUGGUUCAAAAGUGAAAGACGGUCUUGCUGUCACUUAUAGAUGGAUCCGCGCUGCAUUAGCUAGUUGGUAAGGUAACGGCUUACCAAGGCAACGAUGCAUAGCCGACCUGAGAGGGUGAUCGGCCACACUGGAACUGAGACACGGUCCAGACUCCUACGGGAGGCAGCAGUAGGGAAUCUUCCGCAAUGGGCGAAAGCCUGACGGAGCAACGCCGCGUGAGUGAUGAAGGUCUUCGGAUCGUAAAACUCUGUUAUUAGGGAAGAACAUAUGUGUAAGUAACUGUGCACAUCUUGACGGUACCUAAUCAGAAAGCCACGGCUAACUACGUGCCAGCAGCCGCGGUAAUGCGUAGGUGGCAAGCGUUAUCCGGAAUUAUUGGGCGUAAAGCGCGCGUAGGCGGUUUUUUAAGUCUGAUGUGAAAGCCCACGGCUCAACCGUGGAGGGUCAUUGGAAACUGGAAAACUUGAAUGCAGAAGAGGAAAGUGGAAUUCCAUGUGUAGCGGUGAAAUGCGCAGAGAUAUGGAGGAACACCAGUGGCGAAGGCGACUUUCUGGUCUGUAACUGGCGCUGAUGUGCGAAAGCGUGGGGAUCAAACAGGAUUAGAUACCCUGGUAGUCCACGCCGUAAACGAUGAGUGCUAAGUGUUAGGGGGUUUCCGCCCCUUAGUGCUGCAGCUAACGCAUUAAGCACUCCGCCUGGGGAGUACGACCGCAAGGUUGAAACUCAAAGGAAUUGACGGGGACCCGCACAAGCGGUGGAGCAUGUGGUUUAAUUCGAAGCAACGCGAAGAACCUUACCAAAUCUUGACAUCCUUUGACAACUCUAGAGAUAGAGCCUUCCCCUUCGGGGGACAAAGUGACAGGUGGUGCAUGGUUGUCGUCAGCUCGUGUCGUGAGAUGUUGGGUUAAGUCCCGCAACGAGCGCAACCCUUAAGCUUAGUUGCCAUCAUUAAGUUGGGCACUCUAAGUUGACUGCCGGUGACAAACCGGAGGAAGGUGGGGAUGACGUCGAAUCAUCAUGCCCCUUAUGAUUUGGGCUACACACGUGCUACAAUGGACAAUACAAAGGGCAGCGAAACCGCGAGGUCAAGCAAAUCCCAUAAAGUUGUUCUCAGUUCGGAUUGUAGUCUGCAACUCGACUACAUGAAGCUGGAAUCGCUAGUAAUCGUAGAUCAGCAUGCUACGGUGAAUACGUUCCCGGGUCU